RNAcentral lists this ribosomal RNA (185 nucleotides) under uncultured bacterium. Its description in RNAcentral is "partial small subunit ribosomal RNA". It matches the Rfam family "Bacterial small subunit ribosomal RNA", at positions 26 to 218 of the family's 1533-position model. The record is from RNAcentral.
AGCCUGAACGCUGGCGGCGUGGCUAAGACAUGCAAGUCGUACGGGUGUAGCAAUACACCAGUGGCGGACGGGUGAGUAAAGUAUCGCUAACGUGCCCUUCAGUCCGGGAUAGCCGAGGGAAACUUCGGGUAAUACCGGUUGACAUCACGAGCAGGCAUCUGCUUGUGCUCAAAGGCGUAAGCCGC